RNAcentral lists this ribosomal RNA (897 nucleotides) under uncultured Candidatus Poseidoniales archaeon. RNAcentral describes it as "bacterial SSU rRNA". It matches the Rfam family "Archaeal small subunit ribosomal RNA", at positions 517 to 1418 of the family's 1478-position model. Lineage: Archaea; Methanobacteriati; Thermoplasmatota; Candidatus Poseidoniia; Candidatus Poseidoniales. The record is from RNAcentral.
GUCCGUAGCCGGUUUGGUACAUUCGUGGGUAAAUCAGACAGCUUAACUGUCUGAAUUCUGCGAGCACGCCCAAACUUGAGACCGGGAGAGGUGUAGGGUACCUGCGGGGUAGGGGUAAAAUCCUGUCAUCCCGUAGGGACCACCAGUUGCGAAGGCUCUACACUAGAACGGAUCUGACGGUCAGGGACGAAGCCUAGGGGCACGAACCGGAUUAGAUACCCGGGUAGUCCUAGGUGUAAACGCUGUGGACUUUGUGUCGGGAAUUCUUCGAGGAUUCUCGGUGCCGGAGUGAAGAUGUUAAGUCCACUGCCUGGGGAGUACGGUCGCAAGGCUGAAACUUAAAGGAAUUGGCGGGGGAGCACUGCAACGAGAGGAGCGUGCGGUUUAAUUGGAUUCAACGCCGGGAAACUCACCAAAGCCGACUGUUAUAUGAAGACCAGCGUAACGAGCUUGUCGGAUUUUCAGAGAGGUAGUGCAUGGCCGUCGUCAGUUCGUACCGUAAGGCGUUCUGUUAAGUCAGAUAACGAACGAGACCCCCAUCGUCAUUUGCUAACCCUUUCUCCGGAAAGGGCGCACUAUGGCGAGACCGCUGGCGUGAAGUCAGAGGAAGGCGGGGGCAACGGUAGGUCAGUAUGCUCCGAAUGCUUUGGGCUACACGCGCGCUACAAAGGACGGGACAAUGGGCAGCUACUCCGAGAGGAGAUGCUAUCCCGAAACCCGUUCGUAGUUCGGAUCGUGGGCUGUAACUCGCCCUCGUGAAGCUGGAUUUCGUAGUAAUCGCGUCUCAAAAUGGCGCGGUGAAUAUGCCCCUGCUCCUUGCACACACCGCCCGUCAAACCAUCUUAGUUUGGGGUGGGUGAGGCUACCUUUUAUUGGGGUAUCGAGCCUGCCUGCCAG